UCUCCAUCACUAAGUAAUCUAUAACAUCACUCGUGUGACACCUGCAUACAGCUAAAACCAAUCUACAAAAUAGGUAUGCUGCACACCCAGGCACCCAGCACUAAAGAAGAAUUGAUUGCACAAUACCAGAAGUUUUCAGGGCACUUAGCGAGUUCUGUGGGAAGACUCCCAUAUAUAUGGACCCAUCAGUUCUCCCUGUCAUACAUUGUUGCAGACAUAUACCCUUUGCAGUGACAGACAGACUCAGAGAUGCACUCAGGAACUACAUGAAGAAGCAGACUGAGCCAAUGGUAUAGACUGAGCUCUAGGUGGUUAACUUAACAACCUCUGACCUACACAGCUAACGGUUAAACAGCAAGUAGUCAGCAGUGCUGUAAUAUACUCUUCUAAUGCCUCUGGCCUGGUUUCGAGGCCCUUGUUUGAGAGGUUAAAAUAUGUCCCAAAAAAUAAAGUAAGAAUAAAAUAA
Molecule: long non-coding RNA, 466 nt
Organism: Mauremys reevesii (Reeves's turtle)
Lineage: Eukaryota; Metazoa; Chordata; Testudines; Geoemydidae
Exons: 2
Source: RefSeq, a predicted model, not a curated record